This 468-nucleotide ribosomal RNA is filed under the name uncultured bacterium. RNAcentral's name for it is "partial 16S ribosomal RNA". It matches the Rfam family "Bacterial small subunit ribosomal RNA", at positions 28 to 507 of the family's 1533-position model. The record is from RNAcentral.
GACGAACGCUGGCGGCGUGCUUAACACAUGCAAGUCGAACGGAAAGGCCCUGCUUUUGUGGGGUGCUCGAGUGGCGAACGGGUGAGUAACACGUGAGUAACCUGCCCUUGACCUUGGGAUAACUUCAGGAAACUGGGGCUAAUACCGGAUAGGAGCUCCUGCUGCAUGGUGGGGGUUGGAAAGUUUCGGCGGUUGGGGAUGGACUCGCGGCUUAUCAGCUUGUUGGUGGGGUAGUGGCUUACCAAGGCUUUGACGGGUAGCCGGCCUGAGAGGGUGACCGGCCACAUUGGGACUGAGAUACGGCCCAGACUCCUACGGGAGGCAGCAGUGGGGAAUAUUGCACAAUGGGCGGAAGCCUGAUGCAGCAACGCCGCGUGCGGGAUGACGGCCUUCGGGUUGUAAACCGCUUUCGCCUGUGACGAAGCGUGAGUGGCGGUAAUGGGUAAAGAAGCACCGGCUAACUACGUG